GAAAAUAGCAGGCGCCCAGGCCUGGAAGUGAAAGACAAACUGGGACAGAACACUCCGGGAGGUGUUGAGAAACAGAAGCGAAACUUCAUCAGAUGGUCAGGCUUGAAUUCUGGUCCCUGCACCUGCCUCAGAGGAUGGGGCAGGAGGUAGCACAGGUCCCCA
Balaenoptera ricei (Rice's whale) is the source of this 162-nucleotide long non-coding RNA. RefSeq lists it as uncharacterized. The transcript has 3 exons. Lineage: Eukaryota; Metazoa; Chordata; Mammalia; Artiodactyla; Balaenopteridae. The record is from RefSeq and is a predicted model, not a curated record.